This 346-nucleotide ribosomal RNA is filed under the name uncultured bacterium. RNAcentral's name for it is "partial 16S ribosomal RNA". It matches the Rfam family "Bacterial small subunit ribosomal RNA", at positions 338 to 681 of the family's 1533-position model. The record is from RNAcentral.
CCUACGGGCGACAGCAGUGAGGAAUAGUGGUCAAUGGGCGAGAGCCUGAACCAGCCAAGUCGCGUGAAGGAUGAAGGAUCUAUGGUUUGUAAACUGCUGUUAUAGGGGAAUAAAGUGAGGAACGUGUGCCUUUUUGUAUGUACCAUAUGAAUAAGCAUCGGCUAACUCCGUGCCAGCAGCCGCGGUAAUACGGAGGAUGCGAGCGUUAUCCGGAUUGAUUGGGUUUAAAGGGUGCGUAGGUGGUUAAUUAAGUCAGCGGUGAAAGUUUGUGGCUCAACCAUAAAAUUGCCGUUGAAACUGGUUGACUUGAGUCUAUUUGCGGUCGGCGCAAUGCGUGGUGUAGCGG